CUCCACUUCAUGUCCCUGGGAAUUAAGUUUUGUAAUUGUGGAUUGUUAAUGUUCUUUCUCAUAUUUUUUAGAAAGGGAAAAUGAGUGGAAAACCCAUUCCUCUUCGCCAGCAGUGUGUGGCAGGAAGAUGGGAAAGUGUGCCUGCAGUGCAGAGUUUCUGUGUGACUUAGAGCCAGGAUGUCUUCUGAUACUCCAAAUGUUGCCUGUCAAGAUGAAAUCAUUCCAACCACAGUGUUUUUCAAGAUCUAGAACUUACAAGUCACAUCGCUGGACUAAUACUGCAUAUAAGAAGAAAAAAUGGAGAGGUUCCCAGGAGAAGUGUUCUGCCUCUGGAGAAUCAAAACUGAAUAAGACGUUACAAGAAAUUUCCUUUAAAAAUGAAAAUCUCUUUUAAGCCUGAGAGAAUUGACUUACCAGGAACACAUUUAAAGCUCUGAAGAGAGGCUCUUAUCAGCAGCACUACAUGCAUCAGACAGUAUCCUAGAAAAAGUGAUUACUGUAUUGUUACUGUUGCUCAAUUUUACCUCUCCAUAAUAUGAAUAUGUCUCUUUCCUCUUCAUUUUUCAGCAAGAAGAAAGGGAAAUAAGAAAGUUGAAGAAAAAAAACAAAUAAAAAAAUAAAACUCAUAAAAAGAAGUACUAGA
Molecule: long non-coding RNA, 643 nt
Filed under: Apteryx owenii (little spotted kiwi)
Lineage: Eukaryota; Metazoa; Chordata; Aves; Apterygiformes; Apterygidae
Description: lncRNA (ENSAOWG00000015099.1)
Source: RNAcentral